This 476-nucleotide ribosomal RNA is filed under the name uncultured bacterium. RNAcentral's name for it is "bacterial SSU rRNA". It matches the Rfam family "Bacterial small subunit ribosomal RNA", at positions 30 to 507 of the family's 1533-position model. The record is from RNAcentral.
UGAACGCUAGCGGCAGGCUUAACACAUGCAAGUCGGAGGGUAUGCCGAUUUAUCGGCAGAGACCGGCGCACGGGUGCGUAACGCGUAUGCAAUCUACCUUUCACAGAGGGAUAGCCCAGAGAAAUUUGGAUUAAUACCUCAUAGUAUAGCAAUUUCGCAUGAAACCACUAUUAAAGUUCCAACGGUGAAAGAUGAGCAUGCGUCCCAUUAGCUAGAUGGUAAGGUAACGGCUUACCAUGGCUACGAUGGGUAGGGGUCCUGAGAGGGAGAUCCCCCCACACUGGUACUGAGACACGGACCAGACUCCUACGGGAGGCAGCAGUGAGGAAUAUUGGUCAAUGGACGCAAGUCUGAACCAGCCAUGCCGCGUGCAGGAUGACGGUCCUAUGGAUUGUAAACUGCUUUGUACGAGAAGAAACAACAUUACGUGUAAUGUCUUGACGGUAUCGUAAGAAUAAGGAUCGGCUAACUCCGUG